RNAcentral lists this ribosomal RNA (407 nucleotides) under uncultured bacterium. Its description in RNAcentral is "partial 16S ribosomal RNA". It matches the Rfam family "Bacterial small subunit ribosomal RNA", at positions 30 to 526 of the family's 1533-position model. The record is from RNAcentral.
AUUGAACGCUGGCGGCAGGCCUAACACAUGCAAGUCGAGCGGAGCGGCGGACGGGUGAGUAAUGCUUAGGAAUCUGCCUGGUAGUGGGGGAUAACGUUCGGAAACGGGCGCUAAUACCGCAUACUAUUAGAUGAGCCUAGGUCGGAUUAGUUUGUUGGUGGGGUAAAGGCCAACCAAGGCGACGAUCCGUAUCUGGUCUGAGAGGAUGAUCAGGCACACUGGAACUGAGACACGGUCCAGACUCCUACGGGAGGCAGCAGUGGGGAAUAUUGGACAAUGGGCGAAAGCCUGAUCCAGCCAUGCCGCGUGUAUGAAGAAGGCCUUCGGGUUGUAAAGUACUUUCAGUCGGGAGGCGUUACCGGCAGAAGAAGCACCGGCUAACUCCGUGCCAGCAGCCGCGGUAAUUC